This 292-nucleotide ribosomal RNA is filed under the name uncultured bacterium. Its description in RNAcentral is "partial 16S ribosomal RNA". It matches the Rfam family "Bacterial small subunit ribosomal RNA", at positions 505 to 796 of the family's 1533-position model. The record is from RNAcentral.
GUGCCAGCCGCCGCGGUAAUACGUAGGUGGCAAGCGUUGUCCGGAUUUACUGGGCGUAAAGAGCGCGCAGGCGGUCGGAUAAGUCGAAUGUGAAAGCCCCCGGCUCAACUGGGGAGGGUCAUUCGAUACUGUUCGACUCGAAGACAGGAGAGGGAAGCGGAAUUCCCGGUGUAGUGGUGAAAUGCGUAGAUAUCGGGAGGAACACCAGUGGCGAAGGCGGCUUUCUGGCCUGUUCUUGACGCUGAGGCGCGAAAGCUAGGGGAGCAAACGGGAUUAGAUACCCCCGUAGUCC